UACGUAGGGGGCAAGCGUUGUCCGGAUUUAUUGGGCGUAAAGAGCGUGUAGGCGGCCACACAGGUCAGCUGUGAAAACUCGAGGCUCAACCUCGAGACGUCGGUUGAAACCGUAUGGCUAGAGUCCGGAAGAGGAGAGUGGAAUUCCCGGUGUAGCGGUGAAAUGCGCAGAUAUCGGGAAGAACACCCGUGGCGAAGGCGGCACUCUGGGCCGAUACUGACACUGAGGAGCGAAAGCGUGGGGAGCGAACAGG
This 253-nucleotide ribosomal RNA is filed under the name uncultured bacterium. RNAcentral describes it as "partial 16S ribosomal RNA". It matches the Rfam family "Bacterial small subunit ribosomal RNA", at positions 524 to 776 of the family's 1533-position model. The record is from RNAcentral.